Molecule: ribosomal RNA, 435 nt
Filed under: uncultured bacterium
Lineage: Bacteria
Description: partial 16S ribosomal RNA
Rfam family: Bacterial small subunit ribosomal RNA
Source: RNAcentral
AACGAACGCUGGCGGCAUGCCUAACACAUGCAAGUCGAACGAUUGCCUUCGGGUGAUAGUGGCGCACGGGUGCGUAACGCGUGGGAAUCUGCCCUUAGGUUCGGAAUAACAGCUGGAAACGGCUGCUAAUACCGGAUGAUAUCGCGAGAUCAAAGAUUUAUCGCCUGACGAUGAGCCCGCGUUGGAUUAGGUAGUUGGUGGGGUAAAGGCCUACCAAGCCGACGAUCCAUAGCUGGUCUGAGAGGAUGAUCAGCCACACUAGGACUGAGACACGGCCCAGACUCCUACGGGAGGCAGCAGUGGGGAAUAUUGGACAAUGGGCGCAAGCCUGAUCCAGCAAUGCCGCGUGAGUGAUGAAGGCCCUAGGGUUGUAAAGCUCUUUUACCCGGGAAGAUAAUGACUGUACCGGGAGAAUAAGCCCCGGCUAACUCCGUG